Molecule: ribosomal RNA, 497 nt
Filed under: uncultured bacterium
Lineage: Bacteria
Description: partial 16S ribosomal RNA
Rfam family: Bacterial small subunit ribosomal RNA
Source: RNAcentral
GAUGGACGCUGGCGGCGUGCCUAAUACAUGCAAGUCGAGCGAACAGACGAGGAGCUUGCUCCUUUGACGUUAGCGGCGGACGGGUGAGUAACACGUAGGUAACCUACCUAUAAGACUGGGAUAACUUCGGGAAACCGGAGCUAAUACCGGAUAAUAUUUCGAACCGCAUGGUUCGAUAGUGAAAGAUGGCUUUGCUAUCACUUAUAGAUGGACCUGCGCCGUAUUAGCUAGUUGGUAAGGUAACGGCUUACCAAGGCAACGAUACGUAGCCGACCUGAGAGGGUGAUCGGCCACACUGGAACUGAGACACGGUCCAGACUCCUACGGGAGGCAGCAGUAGGGAAUCUUCCGCAAUGGGCGAAAGCCUGACGGAGCAACGCCGCGUGAGUGAUGAAGGUCUUCGGAUCGUAAAACUCUGUUAGUAGGGAAGAACAAACGUGUAAGUAACUGUGCACGUCUUGACGGUACCUAAUCAGAAAGCCACGGCUAACUACGUG